RNAcentral lists this non-coding RNA (27 nucleotides) under Mus musculus (house mouse). Lineage: Eukaryota; Metazoa; Chordata; Mammalia; Rodentia; Muridae. The record is from RNAcentral.
UGCCUCAGCUGGGUGAAGUUGACCUGC